CACAUGUCUGAGCACACAUAAGGGACUCUGUGAAUAUGUGUGUAUUUGUUGUGUGCAUGCCCGCAGAAUGGGAUACAGAGACUCACUCUAUUCAUCAGGGAUUUGUUUUAAUCAGGAAUUGGCAGGCAUGGGAAGAGCACGCUGUCCAGGGUCGGCAAGGCCUGGAAAUGUCAGAGCAUCAGAAUACUGAAAAUAAAAGACAUGCUCACUUCUCUUUCUAGGUUAAAUCUAUUUUGGUGGCGAGGCUGGGGACACUGGGAAUAUGAUACUGAUCAAUCUAGAAUGUGUGGAGGAGUGGACAGCAGUUUUUAAUCAGACAAGACCUUCAACCCCGGCACAGACCAUCAAUUGGCAGGUGUUAAAACAGACCAAAAUGUGUUCUCCCGCCCAGAAGCAAGCAAAGCCAACCCCAGCUGCAGUUCCCUGACAGUCCAGUGAAUUCAGCCAAAGGAAAUGGCCCCACAUGGAGGGCAAGUGACAGAAGACCUGAUGACUCCGGUGGCUCAGCGGAGAGUGCAUUAAUAGGCUUGACCACUUCUGCUCGAUCUUCAGGCAAGCUGGGUCUGACCCCUGGACACUGUCCCCUGGAGCCCCUGGCCUCCACGUGUCCACCCACUGCCAUGGUCAUGGCUCCUCAGCAGGAGGAGGCCCAGCAGCCUCCAGGUGCCCCUGCCUGGUGCUAGCUGCCCACCGAAGCUCUAGCCUCACACUCUCAGGUUCAAAUCCAGCGACAAGAGCGGAUCCCACAAAGGCCACGAGAGUCACCCUAAACGGUCAGCUUAGGUCCUUCGUUCACUGAGCCCAUCGCUGUCCAGGGCAAGUGGUGCUGGCUGGGCUAGGUCCAGCUCCCGUGUCCACCCUGGGACCUGAGGUUCAGGGUCAGCUCACCCUAGACACAUGGAUCGAGUGGGGAGGGUGAAUCCUCAAAUGCUAAUCAGGUUCUGUUGUACAGAAGGGGAAGCGGAGGCAGGAGGAUGCAGCAAGACCUGUUCCCUCCUCUAACGGCACUCAUAGGACAGCCCAGCCACACAUUCAAAGAAUCUUGAAGGAAUAGGAUGGUUGGUAUGGUUGGUGUGGAAGAAGGUUCAUAAAUUCUGGAUUUAGCUUUGUGGGAUUCAGCUGACCUGAAAUUUAUACCUGUGCAGGUAGGUGGUUGCUGGGUAGGGUGACCACUACUGUCUCUCUCCAUCACCCAGGGCUGUUUUCAGCUCAAAGCCACAGAAGCCCAGGCAUGGUGGCAUCUCCGGGGGAAGUUGCCUUAUUCCAGAUUCACAGGUCCGGGGCGAAGGGGCCAGGCAGGGCAGGUGUGGGGCGGCAGGAUAUCGCCCUGGGCCUGGCUCCUUCUGCCUUUCUGCCACCAUCUUCAGCGGUGCCAUUACCUCGAGGCCUUCUGUGGUUGCUGGAGCUGCCACGCUCGGCCUCCUGUCUGCCUCCAGAUGGGAGAGGAGGAAGGAGGAGGUGAGAGCAGGAAAGAGCUUACAUAAAAGACCACAUUUUCCCAGAAUCCCCAGCAGCUGCCUGUUCUCCCCCUCCACUGGGCUAGAGCUGUGUCACACAGGCUGAGCGGCCAGGAAGCUGGGCACCAUCCAGGGAGUGUGUGAUCGUCGGGGUCCUGUUGAUUCCUGCUUUUGAGUAAUGAAGGUGACCAAACCACAUGACCCUGUCUGCAAAGAUUCCACCUGGACUCCCAGUUCCUCCAAGGAACCGUCAUGUGGUUCAAAUCCAAUGAAAUUCUCUAAAUCUCCACCCUCCUCAGGGUGCAGAGUUGGCUGCUUCUCUGUGCCCCCUGCUGAUCACGGCAACCCCUGGGUGCCUCGGCCUGCGAAGCCCCAGCUGUCCUCCGUCUGCAGACAAGCCGAGGUAUGAAAGCCUCCUCGCUGGCCCAGGAGCCUGUCAUUGUCCUCCAGCAGCUCUAGCCUGGAUGCGGUCCCAGAGAUAAAUCAUAUCUCUUUAAAAAGCCACAGUGGCCCAUUAUUUCUGCUUGAAAAUACCCCUGGCUCUCUGCUGGUGAGCUGGUUGACAGGCCCCGGCUGUUGUGCUCAGUGCUGCAAAGAGUCACGUCAGUCUGUCGACUUGUGUAGUGAGCAAGCUGGUAGCUUCAGAUGGUAUGCACAUGAAAUCCCGUCCUGGCAUCCAGGACUUGGCUGGGGGUUGCAGAGAGAACCACAUCUGCAAAAGAGUUGGUAUUUUACAGUCCCAGCCUCACGUCCUUGUGAAAUGCCCUGUUCAUACUGGGCUACAGGGGCGGGAGCAAAAAUGAUACAAUGACAAUUCCUGGGCUGUGUUCUGCAAUAUUCUACAACACUUCCACAAGAAAACUCCAAUCUUUAAAAAUAGACUGAGCACAAUUAAACAAUCACUAUAGAUAUUUCUUUUCUUUUUUUUUUUUUUGAGAUGGAGUCU
Molecule: long non-coding RNA, 2403 nt
Filed under: Homo sapiens (human)
Lineage: Eukaryota; Metazoa; Chordata; Mammalia; Primates; Hominidae
Description: HSALNT0401387
Source: RNAcentral